Lolium perenne is the source of this 2833-nucleotide non-coding RNA. The record is from RefSeq and is a predicted model, not a curated record. NCBI's taxonomy places the organism in Eukaryota, Viridiplantae, Streptophyta, Magnoliopsida, Poales, Poaceae.
GCCCAAUCCUCUUCCUCCGCAAACCUAGAGCGUGUGGAGGCCGACGCCGGGGUCAAAGCCGAAGCAGCAGAGCAGCAACUUGGAGGAGCCAGUGCCGGGUGAGAGGAGGUGCUGCAAGAGCACGUCCCGGAGGAGGCCGGCAGAGCGGGCGGCGAGGGGAACCGUCCCUCCUCGAUUUGGUCGGCGGCCGGCCUCGUUUGGAGGAGCAGCCGUGCUCGUCCGGAGGAGGGCGACGAGGGUCGUGGCAGCGGCGCCCGAGGCCGCGUGAAGCAGCAGCAGGUUGAGGUCGAGGCAGCGGCGGCGAUGCCGGCCGCGGCGGACGCGAAGGUGGAGACGCGCCUGGCCGAGGUUUUUGUGGGGCGGGAGUGCAGGUAAGCCGGCCGCACGCGACCUCGCGCGGCACUUGCGACGGCUGGACGACUCCGCUCAAAAGCAAGAAGGUUGCCGCUGACCAUCAUCCCAGUUCCCAGGCGACCACUAGCAUGAAAGGGGCAAAGCACUUGCCUCUACCUCAGAUUUAUUGUCUCAAAGAUGAUAAGAGAGAUGCGGUGUGAGCAGUAUUGUUUAUGAGUGUAGCUUUACUGCACUCUCAAAAAAAGGAGUAGCAUCACCAAGACAGUUCUGGGCAUGAGUGAAACAAAGCCUUACAUAGAAUUGCCUUUGUGGAGCGCAUCUUGGAAGAGGUGGAGGUGUGCGGAUCGAGCCGGAUGGGGUGGCCACCGUGGCACGCGGGCGAAGGAGGAGCUCAAGGAGCACGUCCCAGAAGAGGGCAUCAGCGGUGGCACGCCAAUCGACUACACCGCAUCCUGGGCCUCGAGAUCUUCUCCAGCAAGACCAGGGGGGCUUCCAUGGCAAGAAACAUGGUCAAUGACUCCAGGGUGACGUGGAGCUCCAGGCCAAGGUAACGAGCAAAUUCUUCUUCGAGGUUGAGAUCGGCGGGAAGCGUGUGGGCAAGGUGGUCAUCGGGCUCUUCGGCGAGGUCGUCCCAAAGAUGAUUGACAACUUCCGUGCCCUGUGCACUGGAGAAAAAGGGGAUGUAUACAAGGGCUGCUACUUCCACCGAAUCAUCAAAUGAUUUCAUGAUUCAGGGUGGGGAUUUUGCAGGAAAACAAUGUCUGAAGAGCAUUAGUGGCCUCUGUUCAGCCUUUUCUCUUCAUCUAUUCGGCAGCCGCUGUUGGUGGACAACGGCGGCCUCAGGUGGUGCAUGGUGGGUCCUGCCAAGUCACCGACACGAUUUCUCCCACGCAGGUGACUGGCGGCUCGGCAACGCCGCGACCAUUGAGCCGAAGGUGGCUGAGCGCCAGAGCUCCCAGCUUAGGAAGACGAUGCGACGGGAUGGCGCAGCACCACGGCCUUCAGCACCCUUGCCGUUAGCAGCCUGCCCCUGUCAUAAGUCCUCUCGCGACCUGUUGGUUCUUCUGCUCCAGGACGAGGUGGUCAUCUUGCUAGGUUUCGGAGCCCUGUGGGCCUCUUUGCCGCUCGUCCUCGUCACCCUCUCUGCACCAGCAUCUCGCUUCCUUCUUGCUUCCAGUCAGGAUGGGAGGCUUCUAUUUAGGAGGCGCUCAUGGUACUAGGUCUCCAUAGACCUGGCCGUUUCAGAAUGGGAACAAGGUAAUAACGCUCCUUAUGAAAAAAAACACAUAAUAUUGCUUUGGGUCCUGUUGUAGCCACAUUUGUGUUAUGGCCAAAACAUACCAUUUCUUUGUUACAAGUAAGCUUCAUUUCCACCAUAAAAACUACUUGUUUGGUAUGAAAAUGAAACCAUGAGCAGUAUAUCUCUCGAUGGGUGAAAUUUGGCAAAUGUAGCAAUUUCCUUGGUCGUGCAAAAUUUGUUGCUGGUGCUUGUGUAAUGAUGUUUAUUAAACUAUGGGAAAGAUAAAUACAACAUUGCAUUUUUAAAGAAAUGAUCAUGUAAAUAUCAAUAGCGGUGAAUUAAUGGCAAGCUGUUUUUGUACUUUAUUUAUCAAAACAGUCCAGUUCUAAGCUCGCUUCUAUAUUAUAUGUAUAUUUAUACUUUUGUAUUAGAAACGAGAUUGGUUCUUUAGUUGAAGCCACAACAACUACUAAGACACCGAUAUUAGAUUGUACUAGCAUUUUCUUACCAUAUAUAGCUAAACAAAGAAUUCGAUGCAGGGAACCUUUGGCUUUAGUCUUUAGUAAGGUAAAAGGAGUUGAGCUGUCAUCAUACCGACCACACUCUUUCUAUGGUAGAGGGAAACCUUGUUGUUUUUCGUUACUCAAUUUCUAACUUAAUUAGCUGGAUUUAGAAUUGUUUGUUCAUCUAGCUAGGAGUAUAGUUUGCACUGCGCAUCGUUCAUGGUUUUGUGACUCAUGUUAUUUGGAUUGCAGUUGUCCAGGAGAUCCAUUUCCCCUUAUUUUGAGGCAAUUUAUUUUUGUGUGUGCUUUUAAUUGUUAUUUCAGUCAUCUGUUGUACCGUCUACCUACGUAUACCCGCUUGACAAAACUGUAUGUUAUGUUCUGCUCUGCUAUUGCUGCCAUUGACUUCCACCUGUACCUAAGGGGCAAAACUGAAGAUCAAAUUAAGGCCGGUCAAUGAGGAGAAAAAGGAAGUGGUUUGAUCAACUAUUGUUGUCUUGCUGAGGCUACUAUUGUGAGAUCAUGAAUGCUCUCUUUACACUCAGAGUUUGUACACAAUAAGAUUAUAUCUACUAUGGAAACUGGAGAAUAAGUGUCAAAACAGUUUUGGUCAGGAAACCGAUUGAUGAUUUGGUAUAUUACAUAGGCCCUGUUUGUCACGUUCUUCCAGUUUAUGGCCUCUUUGUGAUGCCUUUUUUUCCCUUUGCCCUCUAUAAUUGAUGUAUUAAUACUCUAC